UAGCUAGUUGGUGAGGUAAAGGCUUACCAAGGCGACGAUCUGUAGCGGGUCUGAGAGGAUGAUCCGCCACACUGGAACUGAGACACGGUCCAGACUCCUACGGGAGGCAGCAGUGGGGAAUUUUGGACAAUGGGGGCAACCCUGAUCCAGCCAUGCCGCGUGAGUGAAGAAGGCCUUCGGGUUGUAAAGCUCUUUCGGCCGGGAAGAAAUCGCAUGGGCCAAUACCCUGUGUGGAUGACGGUACCGGAAUAAGAAGCACCGGCUAACUACGAGCCAGCAGCCGCGGUAAUACGUAGGGUGCGAGCGUUAAUCGGAAUUACUGGGCGUAAAGCGUGCGCAGGCGGUUUUGUAAGACAGGCGUGAAAUCCCCGGGCUUAACCUGGGAACUGCGUUUGUGACUGCAAGGCUAGAGUACGGCAGAGGGGGGUGGAAUUCCACGUGUAGCAGUGAAAUGCGUAGAGAUGUGGAGGAACACCAAUGGCGAAGGCAGCCCCCUGGGUCGAUACUGACGCUCAUGCACGAAAGCGUGGGUAGCAAACAGGAUUAGAUACCCUGGUAGUCCACGCCCUAAACUAUGUCAACUAGGUGUUGGGUGGGUAAAACCAUUUAGUACCGUAGCUAACGCGUGAAGUUGACCGCCUGGGGAGUACGGCCGCAAGGUUAAAACUCAAAGGAAUUGACGGGGACCCGCACAAGCGGUGGAUGAUGUGGAUUAAUUCGAUGCAACGCGAAAAACCUUACCUACCCUUGACAUGCCAGGAACUUGCCAGAGAUGGCUUGGUGCCCGAAAGGGAGCCUGGACACAGGUGCUGCAUGGCUGUCGUCAGCUCGUGUCGUGAGAUGUUGGGUUAAGUCCCGCAACGAGCGCAACCCUUGUCGUUAAUUGCCAUCAUUUAGUUGGGCACUUUAACGAGACUGCCGGUGACAAACCGGAGGAAGGUGGGGAUGACGUCAAGUCCUCAUGGCCCUUAUGGGUAGGGCUUCACACGUCAUACAAUGGUCGGUACAAAGGGUUGCCAAGCCGCGAGGCGGAGCCAAUCCCAGAAAGCCGAUCGUAGUCCGGAUUGCAGGCUGCAACUCGCCUGCAUGAAGUCGGAAUCGCUAGUAAUCGUGGAUCAGCAUGUCACGGUGAAUACGUUCCCGGGUCUUGUACACACCGCCCGUCACACCAUGGGAGCGGGUUCCGCCAGAAGUAGGUAGCCUAACCGCAGGGGGGCGCUUACCACGGCGGGGUUCGUGACUGGGGUGAAGUCGUAACAAGGUAGCCGUAGGGGAACCUGCGGCUG
This 1286-nucleotide ribosomal RNA is filed under the name metagenome. RNAcentral's name for it is "bacterial SSU rRNA". It matches the Rfam family "Bacterial small subunit ribosomal RNA", at positions 242 to 1520 of the family's 1533-position model. The record is from RNAcentral.